AUUGAACGCUGGCGGCAGGCCUAACACAUGCAAGUCGAGCGGUAGCACAGAGAGCUUGCUCUCGGGUGACGAGUGGCGGACGGGUGAGUAAUGUCUGGGAAACUGCCUGAUGGAGGGGGAUAACUACUGGAAACGGUAGCUAAUACCGCAUAACGUCGCAAGACCAAAGAGGGGGACCUUCGGGCCUCUUGCCAUCAGAUGUGCCCAGAUGGGAUUAGCUAGUAGGUGGGGUAACGGCUCACCUAGGCGACGAUCCCUAGCUGGUCUGAGAGGAUGACCAGCCACACUGGAACUGAGACACGGUCCAGACUCCUACGGGAGGCAGCAGUGGGGAAUAUUGCACAAUGGGCGCAAGCCUGAUGCAGCCAUGCCGCGUGUAUGAAGAAGGCCUUCGGGUUGUAAAGUACUUUCAGCGGGGAGGAAGGUGUUGUGGUUAAUAACCGCAGCAAUUGACGUUACUCGCAGAAGAAGCACCGGCUAACUCCGUGCCAGCAGCCGCGGUAAUACGGAGGGUGCAAGCGUUAAUCGGAAUUACUGGGCGUAAAGCGCACGCAGGCGGUCUGUCAAGUCAGAUGUGAAAUCCCCGGGCUCAACCUGGGAACUGCAUUUGAAACUGGCAAGCUAGAGUCUCGUAGAGGGGGGUAGAAUUCCAGGUGUAGCGGUGAAAUGCGUAGAGAUCUGGAGGAAUACCGGUGGCGAAGGCGGCCCCCUGGACGAAGACUGACGCUCAGGUGCGAAAGCGUGGGGAGCAAACAGGAUUAGAUACCUGGUAGUCCACGCUGUAAACGAUGUCGAUUUGGAGGUUGUGCCCUUGAGGCGUGGCUUCCGGAGCUAACGCGUUAAAUCGACCGCCUGGGGAGUACGGCCGCAAGGUUAAAACUCAAAUGAAUUGACGGGGGCCCGCACAAGCGGUGGAGCAUGUGGUUUAAUUCGAUGCAACGCGAAGAACCUUACCUACUCUUGACAUCCAGAGAACUUUCCAGAGAUGGAUUGGUGCCUUCGGGAACUCUGAGACAGGUGCUGCAUGGCUGUCGUCAGCUCGUGUUGUGAAAUGUUGGGUUAAGUCCCGCAACGAGCGCAACCCUUAUCCUUUGUUGCCAGCGGUUCGGCCGGGAACUCAAAGGAGACUGCCAGUGAUAAACUGGAGGAAGGUGGGGAUGACGUCAAGUCAUCAUGGCCCUUACGAGUAGGGCUACACACGUGCUACAAUGGCAUAUACAAAGAGAAGCGACCUCGCGAGAGCAAGCGGACCUCAUAAAGUAUGUCGUAGUCCGGAUUGGAGUCUGCAACUCGACUCCAUGAAGUCGGAAUCGCUAGUAAUCGUAGAUCAGAAUGCUACGGUGAAUACGUUCCCGGGCCUUGUACACACCGCCCGUCACACCAUGGGAGUGGGUUGCAAAAGAAGUAGGUAGCUUAACCUUCGGGAGG
This 1428-nucleotide ribosomal RNA is filed under the name Enterobacter sp. JA11. Its description in RNAcentral is "16S ribosomal RNA". It matches the Rfam family "Bacterial small subunit ribosomal RNA". The record is from RNAcentral. Lineage: Bacteria; Pseudomonadati; Pseudomonadota; Gammaproteobacteria; Enterobacterales; Enterobacteriaceae.